AUGUCUUUUAUUAUUCCCUCGGGAAGGAAAACAAGAGCAGAGAAGGCAAAGCCAAGAAAAUGGUAUGAUGAAAGCAGACUGAAUCCAGAGCAGCAGUUUUGUUUGAAGCUAUGUUUCAAAGAUGUGUACCAAUUUAGGAGUGCUCUACUUAACUUUCACAUCAAGCAGCUGAGGUCUUUCAGAUAUCACAGGAACUGCAAAGACAGGGUCAUUGCUUGGUGUGACCACAAGGACAAAGGAUGUCCUUUUUAUAUUGUUGCUUCUCAGAUCAAGAAUGAGCAAACAUUCUGUGUAAAGAAGUUUAGAGCAGAACAUACUUGCCCAACUAGUGACAAACAUAGUAAAGUGAGCUCAAAGUGGCUAGGAAGCACUAUCUUAGAGACAAUUAGAUCAGACCCAAACACAACUAUGCCAGCAUUGGUAGACAAGGCAAAGAGGAAAUUUGGAAUUGAAGUUCCAAAGAUGAUGGCAUGGAGAGCUAAAAAGGUAGCAAAGGAAAUUGUCCUAGGAGAUCAUAAGAAGCAGUACCAUAGGUUGACUGAUUACAUUGAAACAGUUAAAAUAUGCAAUCCAGGAUCUAGAUGCUUUGUCACAACUGUCACUCCAAAAAGCACAAAUGAAAACCCACAUCCAGGUCCCAGAUUCCAUGGUCUUUUCUUUUGUCUCAAUGCACCUAGGGAGGGUUUUCUAAAUGGAUGUAGACCUUUCAUUGGUUUGGAUGGAUGUUUCAUAAAGCUUACAACUGGAGCACAAAUCCUAGCAGCUACUGGUAGGGAUGCCAACAACAUCAUGUAUCCCAUUGCUUUUGGAAUUGUAGGAGUGGAGGACACACCCAGUUGGAGCUGGUUUCUCACCCAACUUAAGUAUGAUCUGGGAGGCACAGAAGAGGGAAAGUUUGGCAAAUACACCAUCAUGUCAGAUAGGCAGAAGGGCAUGCUAAAUGCUAUCAAUGUUGUAUUUCCAAACUACCCACAAAGAUUUUGUUUAAGGCACAUUUAUGCAAAUUUUCAAAGAGCUGAAUUUAGAGGUGAAGAUCUGAAAAAAUGCAUGGACAGUGCUAGCUAUUCCUACACAAAGCAUGGUUUUGAUGUAGCCAUGGCCAAUUUGAAGAAUGAGUGUGAGGAUGCACGGAGGUGGUUAUCUGGUAUUCCAGUACACACAUGGGCUAGGCAUGAAAUGGACACCAAUUGCAAAACAGACCUGGUGGUCAAUAACAUAAGUGAGGUCUUCAAUAAAUAUAUCUUGGAUGUUAGAAACAAACCAAUAGUGACAAUGAUUAAUGGAAUCAAAGACAAGUUGCUAGUCAGGUUUGAUGGAAAAAGAGAAAGUGCAGCAACUUCUAGAUGGGAAAUAGCUCCAACAUAUGCAGAGCAGCUGGAGAUUAGCAAGAAAUAUCAAAGAGAUUGCAAAGCAAUUAGGGCAGGGCCUAACCUGUGGCAAGUAAGCAGUGGGCCAAAGACCUAUGCUGUGAACCUUGAGGAGCACACUUGUGGAUGCAGGAAGUGGGACAUGUCAGGGUUGCCAUGCAACCAUGGUUGCAGUGCAAUUUACAAGGCCAAGAUGCAACCUGAGGAUUUUGUAAGUCCUUUCUUGAGGAAAGCAAUGUAUUUGGAGGCAUACAAACCAAUAGUGUAUCCAGUUCCUGGAGAAGAUGCUUGGGUCAAGUCAGGAAAACCUGAUAUUGAGCCUCCUGUAUUCCACAAAGAGGACCAGAGUGGGAGAAAAGAAGAAAAGAGGAAGAAGGGAAGGUUUGAAGUUCCUAAACCAAAAGAUACCUCUAGGAUGGCUACAAUCAGAUGUGGCAACUGUAGGUUAAUGGGCCACAGGUUUACUAACUGUGGACAACCUUUGAGGCCUGAUCUCCAGCUGAGGAAAAAUAGAAGCAUGGUACAUAUUUCUUAG
This 1902-nucleotide ribosomal RNA is filed under the name Triticum aestivum (bread wheat). Its description in RNAcentral is "partial small subunit ribosomal RNA". Lineage: Eukaryota; Viridiplantae; Streptophyta; Magnoliopsida; Poales; Poaceae. The record is from RNAcentral.